GACGAACGCUGGCGGCGUGCUUAACGCAUGCAAGUCGAACGGAAAGGCCUGCUUUCCCUUGUGGAUUGCGGGUACUCGAGUGGCGAAUGGGUGAGUAACACGUGAGUGAUCUGCCCCCAACUUGGGUAUAAGCCUGGGAAACUGGGUCUAAUUCCCGAUAGGACUGCAGGGUGGUGCCUGUGGUGGAAAACGAUUUUCUAGUGGUUGGGGAUGAGCUCGCGGCCUAUCAGCUUGUUGGUGGGGUAAUGGCCUACCAAGGCGGCGACGGGUAGCCGGCCUGGGAGGGGGGACGGCCACAUUGGGACUGGGAUACGGCCCAGACUGCUACGGGAGGCAGCAGUGGGGAAUAUUGGGCAGUGGGCGGGAGGGUGCAGCAGCGACGCAGCGUGGGGGAUGACGGGCUUCGGGUUGUAAACUCCUUUGGACCGCGAGGAAGGCACCUGGUUGGAAGGGUGGUGACGGUAGUGGUAGAAGAAGCACCGGCUAACUACGUG
Molecule: ribosomal RNA, 494 nt
Filed under: uncultured bacterium
Lineage: Bacteria
Description: partial 16S ribosomal RNA
Rfam family: Bacterial small subunit ribosomal RNA
Source: RNAcentral